AUUGAACGCUGGCGGCAGGCCUAACACAUGCAAGUCGAACGGUAACAGGAAGAAGCUUGCUUCUUUGCUGACGAGUGGCGGACGGGUGAGUAAUGUCUGGGAAACUGCCUGAUGGCGGGGGAUAACUACUGGAAACGGUAGCUAAUACCGCAUAACGUCGCAAGACCAAAGAGGGGGACCUUCGGGCCUCUUGCCAUCGUAUGUGCCCAGAUGGGAUUAGCUAGUAGGUGGGGUAACGGCUCACCUAGGCGACGAUCCCUAGCUGGUCUGAGAGGAUGACCAGCCACACUGGAACUGAGACACGGUCCAGACUCCUACGGGAGGCAGCAGUGGGGAAUAUUGCACAAUGGGCGCAAGCCUGAUGCAGCCAUGCCGCGUGUAUGAAGAAGGCCUUCGGGUUGUAAAGUACUUUCAGCGGGGAGGAAGGGAGUAAAGUUAAUACCUUUGCUUAUUGACGUUACCCGCAGAAGAAGCACCGGCUAACUCCGUG
RNAcentral lists this ribosomal RNA (490 nucleotides) under uncultured bacterium. Its description in RNAcentral is "partial 16S ribosomal RNA". It matches the Rfam family "Bacterial small subunit ribosomal RNA", at positions 30 to 507 of the family's 1533-position model. The record is from RNAcentral.